GACGAACGCUGGCGGCGUGCCUAAUACAUGCAAGUUGAGCGAUGAAGAUUGGUGCUUGCACCAAUUUGCAGAGCAGCGAACGGGUGAGUAACGCGUGGGGAAUCUGCCUUUGAGCGGGGGACAACAUUUGGAAACGAAUGCUAAUACCGCAUAACAACUUUAAACAUAAGUUUUAAGUUUGAAAGAUGCAAUUGCAUCACUCAAAGAUGAUCCCGCGUUGUAUUAGCUAGUUGGUGAGGUAAAGGCUCACCAAGGCGAUGAUACAUAGCCGACCUGAGAGGGCGAUAGGCCACAUUGGGACUGAGACACGGCCCAAACUCCUACGGGAGGCAGCAGUAGGGAAUCUUCGGCAAUGGACGAAAGUCUGACCGGGCAACGCCGCGUGAGUGAAGAAGGUUUUCGGAUCGUAAAACUCUGUUGGUAGAGAAGAACGUUGGUGAGAGUGGAAAGCUCAUCAAGUGACGGUAACUACCCAGAAAGGGACGGCUAACUACGUG
Molecule: ribosomal RNA, 497 nt
Filed under: uncultured bacterium
Lineage: Bacteria
Description: partial 16S ribosomal RNA
Rfam family: Bacterial small subunit ribosomal RNA
Source: RNAcentral